AAUAAUGUUGCCUCACCGUGCCCUUCCCAUCCUGUUUUUCUCUCAUCUAAAAAAACCUAUCUCGGCAUCAUCCUCUGUUUUCUAACUUUGAACAAAGCUCGUCCUACCACGGUGGGUGCGUGCGGCUCCUAAGUAUCAAUUCCAGCUCACUUCCUCAAGUUCUUAAGGGGGAAGGAAAAAAAAAAAAAAAAAAAAGAAAAAAAAGAAAAAGAAAUGAAAAGAAAAAGAAAAAGCCGUGAGUUGUGCAUGGGGUAUCUUUAGAGCCCAGUCAGCGCGCUGCGACAGUGCUGGGGGACGGGGGCGGCGCGCACCCCGCCCGUACGGACACACGCUCCCGCGUGCAGACAAAAGGCGGCGGCACCCCCGGCCUCGACGUGCUACUCCGUCCCGGAGAGGGGAGGGGGUAGGGGGGACAGAAAGUUCGGCAUCGACGGGGCGGGAGGGGGGGCGCUGCCCCGCGCCUUUGUUCAGCGGGGAGAGGACCUGCGGCGGAGCUGAGCCGACCGCGCAGAUGGGCACGCACCCGGUAGCGCGGCUCCGCGCCCACGGGACGAGGAGGAGGAGGGAGGCAGAAGGUCCCCAUGCAGCCUCCCUCGGUCUCUUUUCUCCUUCCAAGGUCAAAACGUGGCUGUCUGGAGAACAGGAUGCUCACCAAAACAUCAGUCUUUGCUGGGUGCCAUACUUGUUAUCCUUCCAUUGGUGGAAUACAACUUGGGUGUCCUCAGGAGGUGGCUGACAUGGAUCAAACUGUACCACACAGUGAUGGUGUGAAGACCUGAUGUCUUCACUGCUCAGAAACAUGUGUAAAUUAAUAGGCUACUGGGAGAAGAUGAAGAAGCUUUUGCAGAAACAUGAGGAUAUUGUGGGAAAUACUGCUGUUAACCAUUUGGAUUAUAUUGCUGUCUGACACAGAGGUUCUGCAGAUAACGUAAGGUAUGCUUCCCUCUGACUGUUGCAAAAACGUCAUCUCAUAUAUCAAAAUACUAAGCACAUUGGCUAAAUUUUAAGUAAACUUGCUUUUUAACCUGUUUUUUUCUUUUUCUUUUUUUUCUGUCUUUACCCCAGUGUUGAUGUCUACUAAUAGUUUUGAGUGGUGUAAUAACACAGAAAUGUCUUACUAAUGAAAGAAUUGAUGAAAGAACAACUGAAUAUGACAAAAUUUAUGUCUUUAGAGUUGGCCAAUAUUUUUAAGGUAAUUACUUUGUUGAGUCAAAGGAGUGCUUAGCAUCUCUAGAGAAAAUUGGACUAAUUGUUUUCCUUUAAAAAUAAGUUACAAACAGUUUAAGCAAAGCAUUUUCCAUAGCUGUGAUCUUCCAAAUGGCCAACUUUGUUUUAAGGCGUGUUACUAUUUUGAGUUGAACUAAAGACUGCAACAUGCUAUUAUUUAACCUCUCUUCAUCCAAAUUGUGAUGAAGUGCCUUAUGGACAGUUUGUGUGAGAGAGCAAAUAGAAAUCUUUAGCUUAAAUUUUCCAGGAAUGCUUUUGUUUCAUAUGUUUUUAAAGUGUGAUUUAAAUGCUUUUUGUGGACUGUGUUUGCAUCAUGAAUGUCCUAGUGCUGUGAGGGUCUCUUGGACGCAGACGUGAUUAUGUGAGAUAACCAGUGUACAAAAUAGAUAUGAAAACUAGUGGAGACAACAAGCUGUCAGGCAGUUGUUCACAAAUAACAUAUUAUUUAAGAACCUAGAUAUUAAGUGUUAAUCCAGUGAUGAGGAAAUUAUUGCUCCCCUUGGUGAGCUACUGAAAUCACAAAACAAAUUUUAAAACUCUUUAAAAAUGGAUCAGUUUGCACCUGUUCUGUGUACUUCUCAGUUACAGCUGAAAAUGAAUGAUAUGAAAAUUGCUUUUGCUGUAUAUUUCUGCCCAUCGGAUUGGUUCAGCUCUAGCCCAUAUGUAGGGCAGACAAAUAUUUGUAAUCUUAAGAAAAGUGCUGAACUGGCUGGCCUACUUUGGAGCAGAAUAGGAAUCUGAACAAAUAAUCACUUGUUAUCCUUUCCAGUUGUAAACAGAGAUACAAAAGGCAAUAAAUGCAGUACUCGUUUCCUGGUUCUGACUUGU
Long non-coding RNA from Coturnix japonica (Japanese quail), 2055 nucleotides. Lineage: Eukaryota; Metazoa; Chordata; Aves; Galliformes; Phasianidae. The record is from Ensembl.